GGUCAAGUGAAGAAGCGCAUACGGUGGAUGCCUUGGCAGUCAGAGGCGAUGAAAGACGUGGUAGCCUGCGAAAAGCUUCGGGGAGUCGGCAAACAGACUGUGAUCCGGAGAUGUCUGAAUGGGGGAACCCAGCCAUCACAAGAUGGUUAUCUUACACUGAAUACAUAGGUGUAAGAGGCGAACCAGGGGAACUGAAACAUCUAAGUACCCUGAGGAAAAGAAAUCAACCGAGAUUCCCUUAGUAGUGGCGAGCGAACGGGGACCAGCCCUUAAGUUGUAUUGAGAUUAGCGGAACGCUCUGGAAAGUGCGGCCAUAGUGGGUGAUAGCCCUGUACGCGAAAAUCCCUUUGCAAUGAAAUCGAGUAGGACGGGGCACGAGAAACCUUGUCUGAAUAUGGGGGGACCAUCCUCCAAGGCUAAAUACUACUGACUGACCGAUAGUGAACCAGUACCGUGAGGGAAAGGCGAAAAGAACCGCGGAGAGCGGAGUGAAAUAGAUCCUGAAACCGUAUGCGUACAAGCAGUGGGAGCCCACUUUGUUGGGUGACUGCGUACCUUUUGUAUAAUGGGUCAGCGACUUAUUUUCAGUGGCGAGCUUAACCGAAUAGGGGAGGCGUAGCGAAAGCGAGUCUUAAUAGGGCGUCUAGUCGCUGGGAAUAGACCCGAAACCGGGCGAUCUAUCCAUGGGCAGGUUGAAGGUUGGGUAACACUAACUGGAGGACCGAACCGACUACCGUUGAAAAGUUAGCGGAUGACCUGUGGAUCGGAGUGAAAGGCUAAUCAAGCUCGGAGAUAGCUGGUUCUCCUCGAAAGCUAUUUAGGUAGCGCCUCAUGUAUCACUGUAGGGGGUAGAGCACUGUUUCGGCUAGGGGGUCAUCCCGACUUACCAAACCGAUGCAAACUCCGAAUACCUACAAGUGCCGAGCAUGGGAGACACACGGCGGGUGCUAACGUCCGUCGUGAAAAGGGAAACAACCCAGACCGUCAGCUAAGGUCCCAAAGUCAUGGUUAAGUGGGAAACGAUGUGGGAAGGCUUAGACAGCUAGGAGGUUGGCUUAGAAGCAGCCACCCUUUAAAGAAAGCGUAAUAGCUCACUAGUCGAGUCGGCCUGCGCGGAAGAUGUAACGGGGCUCAAACCAUGCACCGAAGCUACGGGUAUCACCUUUGGUGAUGCGGUAGAGGAGCGUUCUGUAAGCCUGUGAAGGUGAGUUGAGAAGCUUGCUGGAGGUAUCAGAAGUGCGAAUGCUGACAUGAGUAACGACAAUGGGUGUGAAAAACACCCACGCCGAAAGACCAAGGUUUCCUGCGCAACGUUAAUCGACGCAGGGUUAGUCGGUCCCUAAGGCGAGGCUGAAAAGCGUAGUCGAUGGAAAACAGGUUAAUAUUCCUGUACUUCUGGUUAUUGCGAUGGAGGGACGGAGAAGGCUAGGCCAGCCUGGCGUUGGUAGUCCAGGUUUAAGGUGGUAGGCUGAGAUCUUAGGUAAAUCCGGGAUCUUAAGGCCGAGAGCUGAUGACGAGUGUUCUUUUAGAACAUGAAGUGGUUGAUGCCAUGCUUCCAAGAAAAGCUUCUAAGCUUCAGGUAACCAGGAACCGUACCCCAAACCGACACAGGUGGUUGGGUAGAGAAUACCAAGGCGCUUGAGAGAACUCGGGUGAAGGAACUAGGCAAAAUGGCACCGUAACUUCGGGAGAAGGUGCGCCGGUGAGGGUGAAGCAUUUACUGCGUAAGCCCACGCCGGUCGAAGAUACCAGGCCGCUGCGACUGUUUAUUAAAAACACAGCACUCUGCAAACACGAAAGUGGACGUAUAGGGUGUGACGCCUGCCCGGUGCCGGAAGGUUAAUUGAUGGGGUUAGCGCAAGCGAAGCUCUUGAUCGAAGCCCCGGUAAACGGCGGCCGUAACUAUAACGGUCCUAAGGUAGCGCAAUUCCUUGUCGGGUAAGUUCCGACCUGCACGAAUGGCGUAACGAUGGCGGCGCUGUCUCCACCCGAGACUCAGUGAAAUUGAAAUCGCUGUGAAGAUGCAGUGUAUCCGCGGCUAGACGGAAAGACCCCGUGAACCUUUACUAUAGCUUUGCACUGGACUUUGAAUUUGCUUGUGUAGGAUAGGUGGGAGGCUUUGAAGCGUGGACGCCAGUCUGCGUGGAGCCAACCUUGAAAUACCACCCUGGCAACUUUGAGGUUCUAACUCAGGUCCGUUAUCCGGAUCGAGGACAGUGUAUGGUGGGUAGUUUGACUGGGGCGGUCUCCUCCUAAAGAGUAACGGAGGAGUACGAAGGUGCGCUCAGACCGGUCGGAAAUCGGUCGUAGAGUAUAAAGGCAAAAGCGCGCUUGACUGCGAGACAGACACGUCGAGCAGGUACGAAAGUAGGUCUUAGUGAUCCGGUGGUUCUGUAUGGAAGGGCCAUCGCUCAACGGAUAAAAGGUACUCCGGGGAUAACAGGCUGAUACCGCCCAAGAGUUCAUAUCGACGGCGGUGUUUGGCACCUCGAUGUCGGCUCAUCACAUCCUGGGGCUGAAGCCGGUCCCAAGGGUAUGGCUGUUCGCCAUUUAAAGUGGUACGCGAGCUGGGUUUAGAACGUCGUGAGACAGUUCGGUCCCUAUCUGCCGUGGACGUUUGAGAUUUGAGAGGGGCUGCUCCUAGUACGAGAGGACCGGAGUGGACGAACCUCUGGUGUUCCGGUUGUCACGCCAGUGGCAUUGCCGGGUAGCUAUGUUCGGAAAAGAUAACCGCUGAAAGCAUCUAAGCGGGAAACUUGCCUCAAGAUGAGAUCUCACUGGAACCUAGAGUUCCCUGAAGGGCCGUCGAAGACUACGACGUUGAUAGGUUGGGUGUGUAAGCGCUGUGAGGCGUUGAGCUAACCAAUACUAAUUGCCCGUGAGGCUUGACCAU
This 2893-nucleotide ribosomal RNA is filed under the name Pseudomonas syringae pv. actinidiae. RNAcentral describes it as "23S ribosomal RNA". It matches the Rfam family "Bacterial large subunit ribosomal RNA". Lineage: Bacteria; Pseudomonadati; Pseudomonadota; Gammaproteobacteria; Pseudomonadales; Pseudomonadaceae. The record is from RNAcentral.